UACGUAGGGGGCUAGCGUUGUCCGGAUUUAUUGGGCGUAAAGAGCGUGUAGGCGGCCAGAUAGGUCUGCUGUGAAAACUCGAGGCUCAACCUCGAGCUGUCGGCGGAAACUAUUUGGCUAGAGUCCGGAAGAGGAGAGUGGAAUUCCUGGUGUAGCGGUGAAAUGCGCAGAUAUCAGGAAGAACACCUAUGGCGAAGGCAGCUCUCUGGGACGGUACUGACGCUGAGACGCGAAAGCGUGGGGAGCGAACAGG
Molecule: ribosomal RNA, 253 nt
Filed under: uncultured bacterium
Lineage: Bacteria
Description: partial 16S ribosomal RNA
Rfam family: Bacterial small subunit ribosomal RNA
Source: RNAcentral